GAUGUCUCUAAAUAAAAAGAAAAUAUUCUACAAAUAAAAAUUAGAUAUGUUAAUAAAAUGUGUCGCUGAAUAAUGAGUUUUUAAUUUUCGAGAACAAAAAAAUCAUUCUGAUAAAUAGAAUAGUGUAAUAGCAUUUAUAUUCUCUUUAAUUUACAUAUAUAAGGAGUGUACUGAUCAUUUUGAAAAAUAAAAUUAUUAGCAAAGUCUCCAGUGCAUGAUUCAUAUAUUAAAAGGAGUCAGGAAUUGUAUAAUACAAUGGAUUUCUCUAAUAUACUUCAAGAGUUACAGAUAUGCAAAGAAAAUGUCCCUACUUAUAAAAAAUUAAUAACACUUAAUUAUUUAUUAAAGAAUUCAUCGAAUAAAAAGAAUACAGAAGAAUGGCAAUUAAUAUUAUCAAAUAUAAUGGAAGCAUUGGCUAAUAAUCAAGAUAUAGGCAAAGAAUGGGUUUUAUUAGCAUCUCAUGCAUUUUUCAUAUUACAAUCAGCUCAAUCUGAUCCUGAAUCACUGCAAAGAUGUUUAACAUAUUUUUUAGAAGUACAUUCCUCUGAAUUAUUUUUUAAUAAUAAGACAUAUAAAAUAAUUCAUCUAGAAUUGUUCAAGUUGAUCAUUAUAUAUGGCUAUUUACAAGUUAAUCAGAAAAAUAUAUAUUCCAAUAAUAUAUUAUGUAUUAUGUUCAACAUUUUCUACCCUCAUUGCACACGAUAUACCCCUUAUUCAUAUUUUGCAUACAAAAUAUUUAAUAUGUGGUUAAAUGUAUCAGUAUACGUAGAUUUUUGGAAUACGAACACUUUAUUAAUAGAACAGCAGCUAGAAAUGAUUAUAUUUUCAAAUUGGCAUAAUUCAAUUAGUGAAAUUAGUAAACGGAAUACAACACACAUUUUUAAUAUAUAUUUGAAAAUAAUGACAAAAAAAUAUAGUGGAUUUUUGGAAUAUAUAUUUAAUAGUGUUGAUAAUUUCUCAUGGCAAAACGAAACAAAAUAUAUCAUAUUAGCAGAAAUUUUUUAUAUGUCAAAAUGUAGAAUUACAGAAAUAAUAUCAGAAAAUUUUUUAUUGAACUUGAGUACUUCAUUAACAAAAAAUCACUUAUGUCGUUGUGGUGCAAAACUUUAUUUGAAUAUUCUAAACAGACUUACUGAAGAAGACUGGAAAAAAUCAUUCAGUACUGUUAUAAAAUAUCUCAUUUGUCAAUGGGACAUAGGACCGAAACAAAAUUAUAAUGCACUUAAAUCGCUUUGUAAAUAUUGGCUUGAACCGACUAUAGCAAAAUACAAAAAUAUCAUAUUGCAUUUAUGGGAAUUAUGUAAGGAUUUAGCAGCACCAUGUUUUCAUUCACACUUACAAAGGAUUACUAGCGAAAUGUAUGUCACUUUUCCACAAGACAUUGACAUUAUUUCUUAUAUACGUCACAAAAAUGAAGUUAUAAGAUUAAAUGGAUUUGCAAUUUACUGUUAUCAAUUCAGUAAAUUACUGAAUGAAGAUCAAAUUAAUAACUCAAUUAUAAUAAAACAAUUUUUAUGGUAUAAUGCAAAUACCACAUCAAUAUUCCUAAGAGAUGAAAUAACUAAAUACUUUAAAAUAUUUUAUACAAGCGCUUUAAAAAUAAGUGAAAAUGCUUAUUAUAAUCAAACAUGUGAGAUAAUGGAUUGGCUACAUACAUUUUUAUUAGACUGUUUUGAACCUGGUUCUAGUUAUCAACGUAAAAUUCUCGGUUUAAAUUUAUAUAAAAUUGUUCUUUCUGUAACUGAUACAUAUUCUUGUAAACAUCCAAUUAAAAAAGAACAUGAUUCCCUUAUUAUAUUUGAUAACAAAUGCGUAAAAAAAGAUAUAAUGUGCAAAUUUACAAAUAAGACAUUUUUAUUGGUCCUUUUAAAGCUAAUACAAAAUAGUGCAUUUGAUAUAAAACAAAUAUCAACUUACAUUAUUAUCAAUUAUUUUGAGAAAGAUGUUCUAACGAAUAUAGAAAAGAAAGUAAUAUUUAAUGUGGCGAUAAGACAUUGUAAUUCGUCAAAAUUUUAUGAAGUGGAUAGUGGAGCAGCAUUGAUGAAAGUUUUUUCAACGUGGGAGCCUUUUAAUACAGAGUUUAUUACUGAUAAAUGUGAAGAAAGUGCUUUGUGCAAUAGUUAUUAUGAAUUCUUUUUAUAUGAAGCAAAAAAACAAUUACUACAAAUGAAAGAAGAUAUAUUAAAAGCAAUUGUUCAUAAUAGAUCUUAUUAUGGUAUCCUUACUGCCAUGCUUAAUAUAAAUUUUCAACGUGAUCAGGAAAACUGUACACCUCCUUUAAAUUUUAUCAAAAAAUUAAUGGAUUUCUUAGAUGAUGCUAUAACUUUUUUCUUAUCCAUAUUUUCAUCAAAAUCUACAACUACAAAAUAUGCAUCAUCUUUCGAAGAAAUGGGAUUAGCAAUUAAUGAUACAAUUAAAACUAGCACAAUAAAUGAUGAUAAUUAUGACGAUCUCAUUCUAUCACCUGCACAUCAAGUUAUUAUAUCUUGCAUUUGGCUAUCCUUGAAGAUUUCUUGUGAAAUAGCUAGCAAUAUAGGCAGUUGUAUGUAUUCUAAUGAAAUUACUUUACAUGCAAUUAAAUUAAUUACAAUGGUAUUGAUGAAAUGUCGGCAUAGAGGAGCAAUCGAAACUGCUGGAGUAGCUAUUGGCAAUUUAGUGAGAUGUAUAAGUAAACAAGAUAGUUAUGCUGAAACAUUAAAGAUGUAUGUGAAAAAUUUAUUAGAAGAUAAAACAAUGAAUACUUUGAAUAUAACUCGACGCGGUGCCGGAUUUUCGUUGAUGUUUCAUAAAAUUGUAUCGAGUGAUGCUCGUAAAGAAAGACCUCUUUUAUGUUUUGCUAUAGAAGAAUUACUGUAUUCUUUAGAAAACUCUUCUGAAACUCAAUUUGAAAAUAUUGAGUAUAAAUAUGAUCUUCCAUUAGUAAGACAUUUACUUUUUUUACGUGCAUUAGUAACCGAUAAAGAUUUACAUGUACAAUUAACAUCAUAUAUGGAACGUAUUUCUUUAGUAUGUUUCCGAUAUUUACGAUCAGAAAUUUGGCUAAUCAGGAAUGCUAGUCUUCAAUUAUUUGGUUCUUUAGUUCCACGUUUGGUAGGACAAAAUAUUGGUGGAACAACUUUAGAUUUUGGAAAUGGAUAUCAUAUUAAUCAUUUCGUCAGUCACUAUCCAAUCCUUACAAAACACAUAUCAGAACAGCUUCAGAUUUUUUCACAAUUAUCAGAAAAUUCUAACAUCAUAUUACAUGAGUAUUCAAAUAUUGUACAUAUUCUUAUACUACUUUCUAAGUUUUCAAUUAGUGGUUGUGAUUUCAUUGAUUAUUUAUCAUAUGAUUUUGUAAAAGAACUGAAAAGUUGUUUAACCAAACUUCUGGCUAAUCCUAUAGAAUAUGUUAGACUACUUACUGCAAAAACAUAUGCAGCUUUAACUGCAUUUUCAUGCAUUAAAUCGGAAAUCGAAAUAUUGAAAUUAAAUAUUUCAUUAAUGAAAAAUGUUAAUAUGAUACAUGGACAUUUACUUACUAUAAAAUAUUUAAAAGAGAAAUUUUUAGUCGAAGCAGAAAGCAUAAAUUCAUGUGAAAUAAUGAAAUCAACAAUUCCUAUUCCUGAAGGAAAAUACAUCAAUGAAUAUAGAAUCGAAAAUAUUAUGAAGAUCUGGAAUAAUAAGUUAAAAUUUAAAAAUAAUGAACAAAUAUGCUAUACUAUAGAGUGCAUGCUCAUAGAAUUAUUUAAUUUGAAAUCAUUUCCAUUAAAUAUCGAAUUAUUUGAUAAAAUUAUAUUAGAUAGUUUAAAUGUAUUACAUAUUGAAAAGAUAAAACCGAGUUUUUAUCAAUUCACAGAUAUUCUAACAUAUUUAUACGCAGAUCAUAUUAAAUCUACUAAUACAUUUAAUUUGAAAGUCAUUGAUAAAAUUAUUCAUUCUAAAUAUACAGAUCAAACUAUUAAUUUUUUAUCUCAUUUGCAUUAUUUUACUCCAAUUCUUAAAAAUAUAUUACAUAUCUUACUAUCUAUAACUGAUAAUGGUAAUGAAUUAGUCAUUAAUGCAAUGAUCAAAUUUAUAAUUACAACUUUUAAAAAUUCACUGUUAAACGAUAUUUAUGAAUUAAAAUUAGAAGAAGUAGCUCUGAAUUUAAUUACAAAACUUGAUAUGAAUAUUUCAAUUAUUAAUGCAUUGCACUUAAAACAUAUAUUAAUAGCAAUAUUUUGUAAAGAUGAGAGUGUCAUAUAUAAAAUAUUAUCAACAAUUUUUAAUAUGAGUCUUAGCGACAAUGAAUAUGUACAAAAUGAAGUAUUUGAAUGUCUUCAAUUUUUUGUUCAACGUUUUUCGGAAGUAGAAUAUAAAAACAAAUUGUUAAUGAUGCAUUGUUGUCUUAUAUUAUUGAAGAAUCAUAUUUAUGAGAUACGUGAUUCAGUUAGUACAAUUGUACAAAAUCAUAUUUUAUCUAGUAUCUAUGAUGAUAAAAUGAUGUGUGAACACAAUGAAAUUAUAUAUCAACAACUACUCUUAGAAAUAGUGUAUUAUAUAUCGUCAUCUAAUUAUUUUUAUCUAAAUGAUAACAUAGAAUUUAUAAGACAGUUCAUAGGUCUUGAUAAAUUUCAUAACAAGCAAUCUUCAUCAGUUAAAAAUCCAUUUGAUCAUGACCAUAAUACUUACAAAGAAGAAACUAAGUUUAUAAACAUACUUUACUUUUAUAUUCAAUCUAAUACAAAAUAUUAUUGUAUGAUAAAAUACGAAAAAAAUAAUGAAAAUUAUAUCGAUGUGUCACGUAUCAUUGAAAGUAAAUAUCAAAUUUUAAAAAUAACUGAUCUUAAUAUUAAUCUUAUACAAAAUUUGUUAGCUAUUGAAGAUGAAGAGUAUCUAUUUAAGAAGCAAGAAAUUUUAAUCCAAGAGUGCAAGAAUAAAAACAAAUAACAUAAAAUGUAUAUAUGAAAAGCGUUAUUUUACAAAGUUUAAGAACAUUAUAUAUUAUUAUUUUAAAUUCUCAAUAAAAAAAAAAUUGUUUAUCAUUUCCAAAAAAAAAUAAUUUUCAAGUGUUGGUAGAAUAGAUUAUAUAUUAAGUAAUUGGCAGCACUGACGUUAUUCAGAAUAAGGCAGUUACAGAACCAGUAAAACGUGAGAUUUGUGAUGGAGCAAAAACGUCCUAACCGGUUAAGUCAUUGCAUAUGGAAGGCAAAUGCAACAGAUACUCCUCAUACAGUAAGACAAAAACCUUCAAAUCGUGAUAAUAUAUUGCCUAACAUUUUGGAAGCUAUUGGUCAAACUCCUUUAGUACGUUUGAAUAACAUUCCUCAAUCACAUGGACUAGAAUGUGAAAUAUUUGCAAAAUGUGAAUUUAUGAAUCCUGGCGGUUCUGUGAAAGACAGAAUUGCUUAUAGAAUGAUCCAAGAUGCAGAAGAAAAAGGAAUAUUGAAGCCAGGUUCUACUAUAAUUGAACCGACUAGUGGUAACACGGGGAUCGGUUUAGCAAUGGUUGCAGCUGUUAAAGGAUAUAGAUGUAUUAUUGUUAUGCCAGAAAAAAUGUCGAAUGAAAAAGUACAAACUCUA
RNAcentral lists this unclassified non-coding RNA (5541 nucleotides) under Polistes canadensis. Its description in RNAcentral is "cystathionine beta-synthase, transcript variant X4". Lineage: Eukaryota; Metazoa; Arthropoda; Insecta; Hymenoptera; Vespidae. The record is from RNAcentral.